This 2435-nucleotide long non-coding RNA is filed under the name Homo sapiens (human). RNAcentral describes it as "HSALNT0404220". Lineage: Eukaryota; Metazoa; Chordata; Mammalia; Primates; Hominidae. The record is from RNAcentral.
GCUCACUCUGCCAGCCACUGGAGAAUGGACGUAAUGGAGCCAAGGAUGGCACCAGGAAGUCACGGGGGCAGUGUUUGCUGCUGUCCAGGCUGGGGGUUGGGGCCCUGGAUUCAAAGCAUCCAUCUGAACAUAUUGUCACCCGUGCAUCCUGAGAGAGACAGCUUCAUGGAGUGGAGGUGUGUGGCCUGGAGGCCCCACGUAGGCCACCAGGCAUGUUUUCCACGAAAACCGAAACUUCUGACGGGAUUACUAACAUUGGGAGAUUUCCGUUUCUUGGACGCCAGUGGAGGGGCUGCACCAGCCUUAAAAGAAAUCAUGUGAGCCUCCACGAAUCAGCAAACAAAGGAGAAAUUAAGGUUCUGCCCACUUUUGUGGUUUUUGCUUUUCUGGAAAGUUUACGUUGUGCAUCCUUAAGUCAUUACGUAACACUGUAUUAAUAAGCAGUUGACUCAGAACUCCAGAGGGCUUCUGAGCUGGUGAAGUCCAUUCAUGUUACUAAGUCUAUUCUUCCUCCCAGAAUAAAAUCUUCCAUCUUCUCUGAGUUAGGCCUUCCUCAUCAGAACCAUUUCUUUUCUCAUUCAGCUCUCUGAGGUUUUCUACUUAUCAUCCAACUGUAGUAUCCACUGAUAAAUUACACGGAUUCACAAUCCAGCCACUUACUUUGUUUCCUCCUAACAUUUGGAAUAAGCUACUUCCUGCACCAGAGCCUCUGUCUGUCAUGCCUUUACCGGAUCUUAUUUUGGGGGGCUGACCAGUUGCCUAAACCCACAUGCACCCUCUCACCUGGGUUCUCAAGAACUUCUAUUUUGGACAUCCACCAAAAAAAAAAAAAAAAUCUUGUUAAGUAAGAUGAACACUUACCUGAUGGCAGAAGCCUGUUGUGCUCAUCAAAACUUUGAGAUAACCAGGGUUCCUGGAAUCUAAAUCUUCCUAUAUAAAAUAGCAGAGUAGCUGAUCAAAUAAGAGUCAGACAAGUAAGGGUCAACUUUGGAAUCAAUAAAUGGGGCUGGACCCAGUCAUUCACCUACAUUCAAACAGCAAAUAGGCUGGGUGUGGUGGCUCACAUCUGUAAUCCCAGCAUUUUGCGAGGCAGAGGCAGGCAGAUCACGAGGUCAGGAGUUUGAGACCAGCCCGACCAACAUGGUGAAACCCCAUCUCUACUAAAAAUACAAAAAUUAGCCAGGUGUGGUGGCCUGCUCCUGUAAUCCCAGCUACUCAGGAGGCUGAGGCAGGAGAAUCACUUGAACCCGGGAGGCAGAGGUUGCAGUGAGCCAAGAUCACACCAUUGCACUCCAGCCUGGGCAAAAGAGCGAGACUCCGUCUCAAAAAAAAAAAAAAAAAAAACAACCAGCAAAUACCUGUGAACAGCCACCUGGGCUUUGCUGAAAGGUUCUCCCAUUUCUGAUGAGGGUUUGUCUCUUUUUAAAAUUUCAUGUACCUAAAAAGUGAAUUGAUCACAAGAGAUUGUAUCCAAGGAAAGCCCCUCUCCCAGGAAUGUUAAGGGGAGAAAUAAAUUUGAGCGUAGAGCUGCGGGCUCCUGGGGAAGGAAGUGCUCAGUAAGUAUAGUACAAGGCAGCAUGACACUAAUAUGAGGCUGAGGUGACUCUGUAACCACUGGCUGACUACAGUAUCAACAUCCAUACAAAGACAGUAGCAGAUUAAAGGAGGACACACAUGGCCUGCCCUCAAGCUCAUUCACAGCCCACCAAAUCAACUCUUUGUUCAGCUUCUUGACUUUUCACAGUCUGCUGGCUUCAAGAUGUUUUCCCUGGCCUUCUUCUAAUGCCUCUUCCCUAAUCCCAGGUAAAAUUACUGAGGGGGGUUACUCAUUCGAUAUAUAUGUAAGUUAUUUGAGAAAGUUUAUUAAGGCACAGUGGCUCACGCCUGUAAUCCCAGCACUUUGGGAGGCCAAGGUGGGUGAAUCACAAGGUCAGGAGUUCAAGACCAGCCUGGCCAAGAUGGUGAAACACCGUCUCUACUAAAAAUACAAAAAUUAGCAGGGCAUGGUGGUGAGCGCCUGUAAUUCCAGCUACUUGGGAGGCUGAGCAGAGAAUUUCUUCAACCUGGGAGGUGGAGGUUGCAGCGAGCCAAGAUCGUGCCACUGCACUCCAGCCUGGGUGACUGAGCGAGACUCCAUCUCAAAAAAAAAAAAAUGCUAUCCACAAAGUUGGAUAAGUACAGAAACAUUGUCCCAGGAAAUGAAGCCAGUGAUUAGGGCAGGGGUUGGCAAGUGUUUUCUGUAAGAACCACAUAGUAAAUAUUUUCGGCUUUUACUGGCCCAUUUGGUCUUUGUUGCAACUGCUCAACUCUGCCAUCAAAAUGCAGGCAACAGCCGUGGAUAAUAUGUAGUGAAUGGGCAUGAGCAUUGUCUUAGUUAAUUUUCUGUUGCUUAAAACAGAAUGCCUAAAACUGGGUCAUUUAUAAAGAAAAGGAAU